GAUGAAGAACGCAGCGAAAUGCGAUACGUAAUGUGAAUUGCAGAAUUCAGUGAAUCAUCGAGUCUUUGAACGCACAUUGCGCCCCCUGGUAUUCCGGGGGGCAUGCCUGUCCGAGCGUCAUUGCUGCCCUCAAGCACGGCUUGUGUGUUGGGCCUCCGUCCUCCUCCCGGGGGACGGGCCCGAAAGGCAGCGGCGGCACCGCGUCCGGUCCUCGAGCGUAUGGGGCUUCGUCACCCGCUCUUGUAGGCCCGGCCGCCGCUUGCCGACACAUCAAUCUUUUUUCCAGGUUGACCUCGGAUCAGGUAGGGAUACCCGCUGAACUUAAGCAUAUCAAUAAGCGGAGGA
Molecule: unclassified non-coding RNA, 345 nt
Filed under: soil metagenome
Description: partial contains 5.8S ribosomal RNA, internal transcribed spacer 2, and large subunit ribosomal RNA
Rfam family: 5.8S ribosomal RNA (bases 1-120)
Source: RNAcentral